UACAGAGGUCCCGAGCGUUGUUCGGAUUCACUGGGCGUACAGGGUGCGUAGGUGGCUUGAAAAGUUUGAUGUGAAAGCUCAGGGCUUAACCCUGAAAUGGCAUUGAAAACUGUCGGGCUGGAGGUUUGGAGGGGGGACUGGAAUUCUUGGUGUAGCAGUGAAAUGCGUAGAUAUCAAGAGGAACACCAGUGGCGAAGGCGAGUCCCUGGACAACACCUGACACUGAGGCACGAAAGCUAGGGGAGCAAACAGG
Molecule: ribosomal RNA, 253 nt
Filed under: uncultured bacterium
Lineage: Bacteria
Description: partial 16S ribosomal RNA
Rfam family: Bacterial small subunit ribosomal RNA
Source: RNAcentral